AGUGAACGCUGGCGGUAGGCCUAACACAUGCAAGUCGAACGGCAGCACAGUAAGAGCUUGCUCUUACGGGUGGCGAGUGGCGGACGGGUGAGGAAUACAUCGGAAUCUACUUUUUCGUGGGGGAUAACGUAGGGAAACUUACGCUAAUACCGCAUACGACCUACGGGUGAAAGCAGGGGAUCUUCGGACCUUGCGCGAUUGAAUGAGCCGAUGUCGGAUUUGCUAGUUGGCGGGGUAAAGGCCCACCAAGGCGACGAUCCGUAGCUGGUCUGAGAGGAUGAUCAGCCACACCGGAGCUGAGACACGGUCCAGACACCCACGGGAGGGCGCAGUGGGGAAUAUUGGGCAAUGGGCGCAAGCCUGAUCCAGCCAUACCGCGUGGGUGAAGAAGGCCUUCGGGUUGUAAAGCCCUUUUGUUGGGAAAGAAAAGCAGCAGGUUAAUACCCCGCUGUUCUGACGGUACCCAAAGAAUAAGCACCGGCUAACUUCGU
RNAcentral lists this ribosomal RNA (491 nucleotides) under uncultured bacterium. RNAcentral's name for it is "partial 16S ribosomal RNA". It matches the Rfam family "Bacterial small subunit ribosomal RNA", at positions 29 to 506 of the family's 1533-position model. The record is from RNAcentral.